UACGAAGGGGGCUAGCGUUGCUCGGAAUCACUGGGCGUAAAGGGUGCGUAGGCGGGUCUUUAAGUCAGGGGUGAAAUCCUGGAGCUCAACUCCAGAACUGCCUUUGAUACUGAAGAUCUUGAGUUCGGGAGAGGUGAGUGGAAACUGCGAGUGUAGAGGUGAAAUUCGUAGAUAUUCGCAAGAACACCAGUGGCGAAGGCGGCUCACUGGCCCGAUACUGACGCUGAGGCACGAAAGCGUGGG
Molecule: ribosomal RNA, 243 nt
Filed under: uncultured bacterium
Lineage: Bacteria
Description: partial 16S ribosomal RNA
Rfam family: Bacterial small subunit ribosomal RNA
Source: RNAcentral